UGUUUAUCUAAUUUGACGUUCAAACUAAUUUCAAUAUCAAAAAGUUAGAAGGAGAUUGCGGAGCUUAGAAGUAUUUGUUCAGCUGGUAAGAAAUAGCGCCUCAAUGCAUCAACCAAAUAAAAAGAUCCGGAGACUUCAAACAACUGGAUGUGAAGGAUUGAAGUGUUUCGGUACGCAAUCAUGGAGUGGCAGGGUCAUCCAAAGGACAUGAACAUGGAAUUUCAUCGAUCAGUAUUCUGUUACGCGUACAAAUAUUGGCUGAACGAGGGAUGCAGCGGUAACGUUCUAUCGUAAUGCUUGAAUCGGGAAUUCAGUUCCUUGUGCGGAAAG
This is a long non-coding RNA of Uranotaenia lowii, 330 nucleotides long. RefSeq lists it as uncharacterized. The record is from RefSeq and is a predicted model, not a curated record. The transcript has 3 exons. Lineage: Eukaryota; Metazoa; Arthropoda; Insecta; Diptera; Culicidae.